RNAcentral lists this ribosomal RNA (1463 nucleotides) under metagenome. RNAcentral describes it as "bacterial LSU rRNA". It matches the Rfam family "Bacterial large subunit ribosomal RNA", at positions 1464 to 2912 of the family's 2925-position model. The record is from RNAcentral.
UUGAAGGGACGCGGCGUGGUAGGUCAGCCUCUUAACGGAUUGAGGUGCCAAACGCGUAGGACGUUGAAGGGUGUAGGUAAGUCCGCACCCCGAGUCCGAAACGUGAUGGCGGUGCCUUAGAGCCACAAGUGAUUGAGCCAUGCCGCCUAGAAAAGCUUCUAAGCGUUGAUAUUUGAGUGACCGUACCGCAAACCGACACUGGUAGGUGGGUAGAAUAUACCAAGGGGAGCGAGAGAACCCUCGUUAAGGAAUUAGGCAAAUUUCCCCCGUACGUUCGCAAUAAGGGGGGCCUCUGGUGGUGAGCUUAAUCGCAAAGCUGCUGGAGGCCGCAGAGAAAUGGCUCUUCCAACUGUUUAACAAAAACACAGGUCUCUGCUAAGUCGAAAGACGAAGUAUAGGGGCUGACGCCUGCCCAGUGCUGGAAGGUUAAGGGGAGAGGUUAGGCGCAAGCCGAAGCUUUGAGCCGAAGCCCCAGUGAACGGCGGCCGUAACAAUAACGGUCCUAAGGUAGCGAAAUUCCUUGUCGGGUAAGUUCCGACCCGCACGAAUGGCGUAAUGAGAGGAGCACUGUCUCAACGAGGGACUCGGCGAACAUUGAAGGACGUGUGAAGAUACACGUGACCCGCAGCGGGACAAAAAGACCCCGUGAAGCUUUACUACAACUUGCCAUUGAGUUAGGGCUAAACCUGUGUAGUAUAGGUGGGAGGCUUUGAAGCUGGGACGCCAGUCUCGGUGGAGCCACCGUUGAAAUACCACCCUGGUUUAUUCUUGGCUCUAACCUGUCGCCGUUAUCCGGCAUGGGAACAGUGGCUGGUGGGUAGUUUGACUGGGGCGGUCGCCUCCGAAAGCGUAACAGAGGCGCCCAAAGGUUCCCUCAGGCUGAAUGGAAACCAGCCGUUGAGUGUAAAGGCACAAGGGAGCUUGACUGCAAGACCAACAAGUCGCGCAGGGACGAAAGUCGGGCUUAGUGAUCCCACGGUUCAGAGUGGAAUGGCCGUGGCUUACCGGAUAAAAGCUACUCCGGGGAUAACAGGGUAGUCUGGUCCAAGAGUUCAUAUCGACGACCAGGUUCGCCACCUCGAUGUCGGCUCAUCACAUCCUGGGGCUGGAUAAGGUCCCAAGGGUUGGGCUGUUCGCCCAUUAAAGUGGUACGUGAGCUGGGUUCAGACCGUCGUGAGACAGGUCGGUCUCUAUCCGCUGUGGGCGUAAGGGAUUUGAGAGAAGCUGCCCCUAGUACGAGAGGACCGGGGUGGACGGACCUCUAGUGUGCCAGUUGUUCUGCCAAGGGCAUUGCUGGGUAGCUACGUCCGGCAGAGAUAACCGCUGAAAGCAUCUAAGUGGGAAACUCGUCUCAAGAUUAGAUCCCUCAUCCGUAUGGAGUAAGACCGCUAGAAGACUACUAGUUUGAUAGGCGGCAGGUGUAAGCGCAGUAAUGUGUUCAGCUUAGCCGUACUAAUGGUCGA